RNAcentral lists this ribosomal RNA (301 nucleotides) under uncultured bacterium. Its description in RNAcentral is "partial 16S ribosomal RNA". It matches the Rfam family "Bacterial small subunit ribosomal RNA", at positions 509 to 807 of the family's 1533-position model. The record is from RNAcentral.
CAGUAGCCGCGGGAAUACGAAGGGUGCAAGCGUUACUCGGAAUUACUGGGCGUAAAGCGUGCGUAGGUGGUGGUUUAAGUCCGUUGUGAAAGCCCUGGGCUCAACCUGGGAAUUGCAGUGGAUACUGGGUCACUAGAGUGUGGUAGAGGAUAGUGGAAUUUCCGGUGUAGCAGUGAAAUGCGUAGAGAUCGGAAGGAACAUCUGUGGCGAAGGCGACUAUCUGGGCCAACACUGACACUGAGAGACGAAAGCUAGGGGAGCAAAUGGGAUUAGAUACCCCCGUAGUCCCUGUCUCUUAUAC